CAUCGGACAGCCCGCACUGACCCCAUCAUGGAAACAAGGACAGCUGUGUUAUGGCCGGGAAGGAAGGACCCCUAUGAAAUAUCACCUGUCUGUCUGCCCCUUCUGUCUCCUCACCCACUCACCGAGGAGGUUGUUAUUGAACGAGAGGAAAAACAAUAGUACAAUUAUAGUAGGAAUGUGAUUCCCUUCACGGCUAGUCACUUCACCCCAUGCAAGAGAACAGGAGGAAUGAACUGCAUGCCUAACGUACAAAGCUCGCUACGACUAUGCAGAGAGAGAGAGAGAGAACUGGAAAGGACGUUUCUUGGAAGAAGAACAAACACAGGAUGACAGGGAUAUUACAACUCUGAGAGCAAUCCUUCGAGAAUGGUCAGAAGAGGGAAAGCAUUAUGGAUAAACUUCAGUAAAUCAACAAAAUGGAUUCUAAAUGCAUGCUUGAGGUGGAAUUCAGAAUUCAUCAACUCAAGUUUCAAGAACAGAAAGAAUGAACAAUGGUGACUUGUGAAAGGCUGGGGAAGAGAGGAGAAACACUCAAUGAUGCAGUAACAUCAGGCCUAGAGAGGUAUCUGAAUAAAUGAUACUAGACACAAGAGAGAGAGAGUAAGAGAGAGAGAGAGAGCAGAUAUAUAUAGUACUUGUUAGAAGUGCAACACCACCCUUAUGUCUGAGUGUCAUGUGUAUAACUCAUAAACACAACGUGACUCUUCACACCCUGGCUGAGAGACACACUGAGGUGCACAACUAAUUAACUUCUGUAAAUAACAAUGAAAGAUAUGAAAAUAAAGAUAUCACAUUGCUAAUAUGCAGUGAUUGACCAUAUCUUUGAUAUGUGGUGUCAAGUGCACGCACAAGUAAUAACACAGCGUGUAAAAUAAAUAAAGGAAUUGAUCGAAUGCAGACCACACAACAAAGGAAACUACAAAUAUAACUUUUUGCAACAGCACACACCAGUGUAUGACCAUUCCAUUUAAAUCGAUUCAAAUUGUAUAAUAUAUUUAUUUAAAGUAUGUCAGAGGAACAGUACGAUCAUUAGUAUUUAUAAAUUGUGUAAGAGAUUAUGAUGAAUGCAUGUACGAUAUCUAUCCUAUAAUUGUAAAGGCUCCGACAGAGAUGUACUUGAGAAAAGUGAUACAGAACAAAAAAGACGAAAUACCAAAUAUUUGAAUACUACAGUAUCUAUAUAGGAAACAAAGCAUAAUCACAUGUUCAAGUCUUAAGCACAGUAACAAUGCAGAUGACAUUUCUAAAAUGAAUUUAGCACACUUUAGUAGGCCUAAAAUGACUUGUAUUGUUUAAAUAUAGAAUGAGAGCAUCAAAUCCAAUCUAAUCACAUUGUAUUUGACACAGGCGCCAAGUACAACAGAUUACAACCUUACCGUGAAAUUAAAAAGUUAAGAAAAUAUUUACCAAAUAAAGUAAAGUUUUAAAAAAGUAACAAAAAUAAUCCUUAGUGUAUUAUGGUGAAACUAUCAUUCCGUUGAUAUCAGGAUCCAAAUUAGCCUGGUCUCAGAUCUGUUUGUGCUGCUUAGCCAACAUCUAUGGUCAUUGUCAUGGCAAGGCAGACCAAACAGAUCUGAGACCAGGCUAGAUCCAAGUCACUCACAGCCAAACAAAGUGCCUGUAUUGUUGUAGCAGCAAUGUAAGAUAUAGUAGAGAGAGCCUAGCCAGGUCCUAGAUCUGUUUGGGCUGUCUUGCCAACUGACCAGUUGGCACAAGACAAUACAAACAGAUCUGUGACCAGGCUAGGGCCCCCUCCUAGGACAAUAUGAUACAGUAUUUACUUUAGUUCUAGGGCCUCCCUCCUAGGACAAUAUAAUACUGUAUUACUGUAGUAGAUGUGUCUCCCUCCUAAGACAAUAUAAUACAUUAUUUACUGUAGUAGAGGGGUCUCUCUCCCAGGACAAUAUAAUAGUGUAUUUAUUGUAGUAGAGGGGCCUUCCUUCCUAGGACAAUAUAAUACUGUAUUUACUGUAGUAGAGAGGGUUGCCUCCUAGGAAAAUAUAGUAUUUAACUGAUUGUAGUAGAGGGGCCUCCCUCUCAGGAAAAUACAAUACUGUAUUUACUGUAGUAGAGGGGCCUUCCUUCCUUGGACAAUAUAAUACUGUAUUUACUGUAGUAGAGGGGCCUGCCUCCUAUGGCAAUUCAGUACUGUAUUGACUGUAGUAGAGGGGCCUCCCUCCUAGGACAAUACAAUACUGGAUUUACUGUAGUAGAGGGGCCUCCCUCCUAGAACAAUACAAUACUGUAUUUACUGUAGUAGAGGGGCCUCCCUCCUAGAACAAUACAAUACUGUAUUUACUGUAGUAGAGAGGCCUCCCUCCUAGAACAAUACAAUACUGUAUUUACUGUAGUAGAGAGGGUUGCCUCCUAGGAAAAUAUAGUAUUUAACUGAUUGUAGUAGAGGGGCCUUCCUCUCAGGAAAAUACAAUACUGUAUUUACUGUAGUAGAGGGGCCUUCCUUCCUU
Molecule: long non-coding RNA, 2465 nt
Organism: Oncorhynchus tshawytscha (Chinook salmon)
Lineage: Eukaryota; Metazoa; Chordata; Actinopteri; Salmoniformes; Salmonidae
Source: Ensembl